This 626-nucleotide ribosomal RNA is filed under the name Metopa alderi. RNAcentral's name for it is "SSU rRNA". It matches the Rfam family "Eukaryotic small subunit ribosomal RNA", at positions 570 to 1009 of the family's 1831-position model. The record is from RNAcentral. Lineage: Eukaryota; Metazoa; Arthropoda; Malacostraca; Amphipoda; Stenothoidae.
GCAGCCGCGGUAAUUCCCAGCUUCAGUAGCAUAUAUUAAGUUGCUGCGGUUAAAAGGCUCGCAGUUGAAACUCAGUACUGAGCGCAGGCAGGUGGACGUUGGGGCGUGGGAAUCAACGGACCGUGGUACGGACGCGUUCGCGCGCAUCGGCCACGCCCGUCUCACAAGCCCCCGUCCGUGAACAGCCUCCUCGCUUGUGUACAUAUCGGAAUUAGUAUAACGGAGUGUACGCGGUGCUCGCAUCGAUUCGUGCUGUCAGAGCGCAAGCCCUGCUUCGCGUUGACGUGUUGAGGCCCGUACGUCAAGCUCCUUCGGUUUCAUAGUCACCUUGAGUAAAUCAGAGUGCUCAAAGCAGUCGUAGGGGCCUUGUGCCCUGUGAAAAGUCUUAACGGACUGACUUGGUUUUGCAUGGCAUGUUGGAAUACGACGUCGCGUGCUGGCUCAGAGAUUUAUAUCGGUGGUGUAAGCCAGCCGCGACGUACUGAUUAAAAGGGUUGGUCGAGGGCAUCGGUAUUGCGGGGCGAGAGGUGAAAUUCUAUGACCCCCGCAAGACCUCCUGAAGCGAAAGCGUUUGCCAAGGACGAUUUCAUUAAUCAUGAACGAAAGUUAGAGGAUCGAAGACGAUC